This 120-nucleotide ribosomal RNA is filed under the name Mobilicoccus massiliensis. The record is from RNAcentral. Lineage: Bacteria; Bacillati; Actinomycetota; Actinomycetes; Micrococcales; Dermatophilaceae.
GUUACGGCGGUCAUAGCGAGAGGGAAACGCCCGGUCCCAUUCCGAACCCGGAAGCUAAGCCUUUCAGCGCCGAUGGUACUGCACUGGUGACGGUGUGGGAGAGUAGGACGCCGCCGGACA